RNAcentral lists this unclassified non-coding RNA (330 nucleotides) under soil metagenome. RNAcentral's name for it is "partial contains 5.8S ribosomal RNA, internal transcribed spacer 2, and large subunit ribosomal RNA". The stretch from base 1 to 120 matches the Rfam family "5.8S ribosomal RNA", at positions 35 to 154 of the family's 154-position model. The record is from RNAcentral.
GAUGAAGAACGCAGCGAAAUGCGAUAAGUAAUGUGAAUUGCAGAAUUCAGUGAAUCAUCGAAUCUUUGAACGCACAUUGCGCCCCUUGGUAUUCCGAGGGGCAUGCCUGUUCGAGCGUCAUUAUAACCCCUCAAGCUCAGCUUGGUGUUGGGGCCUGCUGCACUGGCAGCCCUUAAAAUCAGUGGCGGCGCCAUCUGGCUCUAAGCGUAGUAAUUCUUCUCGCUAUGGAGUCCUGGUGGAUGCUUGCCAUCAACCCCCAAUUUUUCUAUGGUUGACCUCGGAUCAGGUAGGGAUACCCGCUGAACUUAAGCAUAUUCAAUAAGCGGAGGA